CAACAUUUGUGUGCAUGCAAGAACUUUCAGUCACUUUUUUCGCUUUAUUCAACUGCCAUCUUUGUUUACACAGACUAGCCGUGAUGAAAAAUUAUCACCAUCAUUGCACUAGCCGGGACCCUCAUCCAGUGCCUCGUCCAGUGCAUAAUGUAGCACGAUUCAAGGUGAAUCUGCGGCAAGCAAAAAACAUUAACGAGAGUCAUCCACCUACAUCCGUAAGAUUUCGGCAUGGAUAGAAUUGGACGCGCUGGUGAUUGGCAGUUCGAACAGCUGCGCAUACUAAAGUGGACUCAAGAAUUACGGGCAUUUCGAGGUGGAUUAGAUUGUUUUUUCAAGUAAUUUAUUGAAAAUAAA
Molecule: long non-coding RNA, 354 nt
Organism: Armigeres subalbatus
Lineage: Eukaryota; Metazoa; Arthropoda; Insecta; Diptera; Culicidae
Exons: 3
Source: RefSeq, a predicted model, not a curated record